AGUUCGGACUGCAGGCUGCAACUCGCCUGCACGAAGUUGGAAUUGCUAGUAAUCGUGGAUCAGCAUGCCACGGUGAAUACGUUCCCGGGCCUUGUACACACCGCCCGUCACACCAUGGGAGUUGGAAGCACCCGAAGUCGGUGACCUGACCGAAAGGGAGGAGCCGCCGAAGGUGAAGCCAGCGACUGGGGUGAAGUCGUAACAAGGUAUC
Molecule: ribosomal RNA, 211 nt
Filed under: uncultured bacterium
Lineage: Bacteria
Description: partial 16S ribosomal RNA
Rfam family: Bacterial small subunit ribosomal RNA
Source: RNAcentral